UACGGAGGGUGCGAGCGUUAAUCGGAAUUACUGGGCGUAAAGGGUGCGUAGGUGGUAAUAUAAGCUAGUUGUGAAAUACCUGGGCUUAACCUGGGGGAGCCAACUAGGACUGUAUAACUAGAGUAUGGUAGAGGGUAGCGGAAUUUCCGGUGUAGCGGUGAAAUGCGUAGAUAUCGGAAGGAACACUGGUGGCGAAGGCGGCUACCUGGUCUAAUACUGACACUGAGGCACGAAAGCGUGGGUAGCGAACAGG
RNAcentral lists this ribosomal RNA (253 nucleotides) under uncultured bacterium. RNAcentral's name for it is "partial 16S ribosomal RNA". It matches the Rfam family "Bacterial small subunit ribosomal RNA", at positions 524 to 776 of the family's 1533-position model. The record is from RNAcentral.